AAUGACGGUACUUGAGGAGGAAGCCCCGGCUAACUACGUGCCAGCAGCCGCGGUAAUACGGAGGGGGCUAGCGUUAUCCGGAUUUACUGGGCGUAAAGGGUGCGUAGGCGGUCUUUCAAGUCAGGAGGGAAAGGCUACGGCUCAACCGUAGUAAGCUCUUGAAACUGGGAGACUUGAGUGCAGGGGAGGAGAGUGGAAUUCCUAGUGUAGCGGUGAAAUGCGUAGAUAUUAGGAGGAACACCAGUUGCGAAGGCGGCUCUCUGGACUGUAACUGACGCUGAGGCACGAAAGCGUGGGGAGCAAACAGGAUUAGAUACCCUGGUAGUCCACGCUGUAAACGAUGAGUACUAGGUGUCGGGGGUUACCCCC
This 369-nucleotide ribosomal RNA is filed under the name Clostridioides difficile. RNAcentral describes it as "bacterial SSU rRNA". It matches the Rfam family "Bacterial small subunit ribosomal RNA", at positions 468 to 841 of the family's 1533-position model. The record is from RNAcentral. Lineage: Bacteria; Bacillati; Bacillota; Clostridia; Peptostreptococcales; Peptostreptococcaceae.